RNAcentral lists this ribosomal RNA (509 nucleotides) under uncultured Entrophospora. RNAcentral describes it as "SSU rRNA". It matches the Rfam family "Eukaryotic small subunit ribosomal RNA", at positions 569 to 1074 of the family's 1831-position model. The record is from RNAcentral. Lineage: Eukaryota; Fungi; Glomeromycota; Glomeromycetes; Entrophosporales; Entrophosporaceae.
AGCAGCCGCGGUAAUUCCAGCUCCAAUAGCGUAUAUUAAAGUUGUUGCAGUUAAAAAGCUCGUAGUUGAAUUUCGGGAUUGACACAUCGGUCGUGCCUUAAGGGGUAUGAACUGGUGUAGUCAAUUUCUCACCUUCUGGAGAACCGCGAUGCCCUUAAUUGGGUGUCGCGGGGAACCAGGACCUUUACUUUGAAAAAAUUAGAGUGUUUAAAGCAGGCAUUUUGCUUGAAUACAUUAGCAUGGAAUAAUAAAAUAGGACGGCAUGAUUCUAUUUUGUUGGUUUCUAGGAUCACCGUAAUGAUUAAUAGGGAUAGUUGGGGGCAUUAGUAUUCAAUUGUCAGAGGUGAAAUUCUUGGAUUUAUUGAAGACUAACUACUGCGAAAGCAUUUGCCAAGGAUGUUUUCAUUAAUCAAGAACGAAAGUUAGGGGAUCGAAGACGAUCAGAUACCGUCGUAGUCUUAACCAUAAACUAUGCCGACUAGGAAUCAGACGAUGUUAAUUUUUAAUGA